This 369-nucleotide RNase P RNA is filed under the name Bacillota bacterium. RNAcentral describes it as "RNase P RNA component class B". It matches the Rfam family "Bacterial RNase P class B". From Rfam's summary of the family: Ribonuclease P (RNase P) is a ubiquitous endoribonuclease, found in archaea, bacteria and eukarya as well as chloroplasts and mitochondria. Its best characterised activity is the generation of mature 5'-ends of tRNAs by cleaving the 5'-leader elements of precursor-tRNAs. The record is from RNAcentral. Lineage: Bacteria; Bacillati; Bacillota.
UACAGUGGGUAGUCGCUGUUCCGUGUCAACGGAGCAGAGGAAAGUCGAGACACGCACACUUUGCUGAUGAAGCUAAAGGCCGCAAGGGGCCAAGAGGCCACGGCAGGUGUAAAAUGGUGCCCGGCGCAAGCCGGGGCAGGGUGACCUGACGACGGUGAAAGCAACUCUCUGAGUGGCAAGUAACCAUAAAGUGCCACAGAAACAAUGUCACCGGGCGACCGGUGAGUGCAAGGGUAAACUCCACCAGCGUGCAACCCAAAUAGGCAGGGGCGUUUUGUCACCUGCGGGUAGGGGCACCUCGCACCGGCGAGGAAGGAGAGAUCCUCUCCUUAGAUAGAUGACUACUAAAACAGAAUCUCGCUUACGGCU